Molecule: ribosomal RNA, 254 nt
Filed under: uncultured bacterium
Lineage: Bacteria
Description: partial 16S ribosomal RNA
Rfam family: Archaeal small subunit ribosomal RNA
Source: RNAcentral
UACCAGCACCCCGAGUGGUCGGGACGUUUUAUUGGGCCUAAAGCAUCCGUAGCCGGUUCUACAAGUCUUCCGUUAAAUCCAACUGCUUAACAGGUGGGCUGCGGAAGAUACUAUAGAGCUAGGAGGCGGGAGAGGCAAGCGGUACUCGAUGGGUAGGGGGUAAAAUCCGUUGAUCCAUUGAAGACCACCAGUGGCGAAGGCGGCUUGCCAGAACGCGCUCGACGGUGAGGGAUGAAAGCUGGGGGAGCAAACGG